Molecule: long non-coding RNA, 395 nt
Filed under: Mustela putorius furo (domestic ferret)
Lineage: Eukaryota; Metazoa; Chordata; Mammalia; Carnivora; Mustelidae
Description: lncRNA (ENSMPUG00000025806.1)
Source: RNAcentral
UCCAGCUAUUCAUGACCAAUAUUUAAAGAUAAAUGCUUGAGACAACUAAGGUAAAACCAUCAAAAUUCAGUUUCUAGAAUUCUGAUGAACCUAAUGACAAAAUAAAUGAUGGUAAGAAUUUCGGAGCAUCAGGAUGGGUAAGAUUUGUGCUACCCUGAAAAGAUGUAUUCUCUACUUUGUGCAGAAAUAUGCCUCUCCAUUCUCUAGCAGAGUAAUGAAGGAGGAGUGGAUUCGUAAUAUCCUUGAAGAACCGCAUCUUGAACUCCUAGCGAUAGCCCUGGUCCCCACAACUCCAACAACAUCCUUACCAACAUUUAAUGAGAAGAUACUUCUCUAGAAGAAUGAAACUGAAGAACAUGACUGCCUUACUAAUAAAACUUUGGAAGACUCACAUU